GAUGAACGCUGGCGGCGUGGAUAAGGCAUGCAAGUCGAACGGUAACAGGCCGCAAGGUGCUGACGAGUGGCGAACGGGUGAGUAAUGCAUCGGAACGUGCCCAGUCGUGGGGGAUAACGCAGCGAAAGCUGCGCUAAUACCGCAUACGAUCUAUGGAUGAAAGCGGGGGACCGUAAGGCCUCGCGCGAUUGGAGCGGCCGAUGUCAGAUUAGGUAGUUGGUGGGGUAAAGGCUCACCAAGCCAACGAUCUGUAGCUGGUCUGAGAGGACGACCAGCCACACUGGGACUGAGACACGGCCCAGACUCCUACGGAGGCAGCAGUGGGGAAUUUUGGACAAUGGCGCAAGCCUGAUCCAGCAAUGCCGCGUGCA
This 371-nucleotide ribosomal RNA is filed under the name uncultured bacterium. Its description in RNAcentral is "bacterial SSU rRNA". It matches the Rfam family "Bacterial small subunit ribosomal RNA", at positions 28 to 405 of the family's 1533-position model. The record is from RNAcentral.